AUGAACGCUGGCGGCUUGCCUCAUCCCUGCAAGUCGAGCGAACGGACGAGAAGCUUGCUUCUCUGAUGUUAGCGGCGGACGGGUGAGUAACACGUGGAUAACCUACCUAUAAGACUGGGAUAACUUCGGGAAACCGGCGCUAAUACCGGAUAAUAUUUUGAACCGCAUGGUUCAAAAGUGAAAGACGGUCUUGCUGUCACUUAUAGAUGGAUCCGCGCUGCAUUAGCUAGUUGGUAAGGUAACGGCUUACCAAGGCAACGAUGCAUAGCCGACCUGAGAGGGUGAUCGGCCACACUGGAACUGAGACACGGUCCAGACUCCUACGGGAGGCAGCAGUAGGGAAUCUUCCGCAAUGGGCGAAAGCCUGACGGAGCAACGCCGCGUGAGUGAUGAAGGUCUUCGGAUCGUAAAACUCUGUUAUUAGGGAAGAACAUAUGUGUAAGUAACUGUGCACAUCUUGACGGUACCUAAUCAGAAAGCCACGGCUAACUACGUG
This 496-nucleotide ribosomal RNA is filed under the name uncultured bacterium. RNAcentral describes it as "partial 16S ribosomal RNA". It matches the Rfam family "Bacterial small subunit ribosomal RNA", at positions 29 to 507 of the family's 1533-position model. The record is from RNAcentral.